CAGAAACACCAUUUGCGAUUCGUCAGCCACACGAAUAACGACGGCAGGGCAGUUGAGGCGACCGAGACCGUAAUAAGCAAUCCACGAAAGAUCGCGAGCAAGGGAAUGAAUUGGAACGGCAGCAGCAAGGAGAAGGGACUGUUGCGGCGGCUCCCAAUGCUGAAGAUGAAAGAGCUGGGAAAGCUGGGUCCUGGUCUAGGUUUCGGCACCGGUUGUGGUGUUGGCUUCGGCAUCGGCCUCAUGGGAGGAUUGGGAGCUGGAUUUGCUGGUAUGCAAGCUUGGAUUAGGAUUUGGAGCUGGAUGUGGAAUAGGUUUAGGUUUUGGUUAUGGUGUUGGGAGAGGAGUUGCAUAUGACGAAUACCGAAGACAUUCAAAUGUUGGAAAGCUGUUUCGUGGUGUCCGAAACAGUCCAUCUGAGAAUUAUGGUGAGGCUCUGUUUGAUGAACUUGUAGAAAGUACAAGAAAGCUGCUAAAAGCAACUUCUAGAGAGGUUGAGAAAUGGAGAUAAAAUGGAAAAUAUGUUGCUCUUCUCCAUGCAAAGGCGUACAGAACUAUCCAACCUUUAAUUUCUUACGUUGUUAAGAAAAAUUAAUUGAAUAUUUAAAGAUUGUUAAGUCACACUAAUAGCACGUUUUUUGUGUUUUUUUUUUUCCUUUGAUUUGGUUGUGGUGCAACUUUACAUCAUUUCUUUUUCUCCACGUUGUAUUAUUGAAAUAGUUGAACUGA
Long non-coding RNA from Zingiber officinale, 726 nucleotides. RefSeq lists it as uncharacterized. The transcript has 3 exons. Lineage: Eukaryota; Viridiplantae; Streptophyta; Magnoliopsida; Zingiberales; Zingiberaceae. The record is from RefSeq and is a predicted model, not a curated record.